Long non-coding RNA from Panicum virgatum (switchgrass), 274 nucleotides. RefSeq lists it as uncharacterized. The record is from RefSeq and is a predicted model, not a curated record. The transcript has 3 exons. Lineage: Eukaryota; Viridiplantae; Streptophyta; Magnoliopsida; Poales; Poaceae.
AGGUUGCGCUGCCGGCCAAUUCUGCUUUCACUAUAAUGGAACGCUUUCUUCACUUUCAAGAGUAAAUGUAACAGAUGCAUCAAAGGUUGCAGAAAUGCUCACUGACACACUAGGCUUAAAAGAAAACCAGGGGUUCGUGCCCACAACAUAAAGAUGCCAACCAUACCUCGCAGCACGGAAGAAGGUAUUGCCCGACAUGCAGUCUCUCCUGACAGCAAAAUUAAAUCAGUAUCGUUAAGUUUUUUUGUAAAAAAAGAGCUGUAUAAACUCAUAA